This 482-nucleotide ribosomal RNA is filed under the name uncultured bacterium. Its description in RNAcentral is "partial 16S ribosomal RNA". It matches the Rfam family "Bacterial small subunit ribosomal RNA", at positions 30 to 507 of the family's 1533-position model. The record is from RNAcentral.
AUUGAACGCUGGCGGCAUGCUUUACACAUGCAAGUCGAACGGUAACAGGCCGCAAGGUGCUGACGAGUGGCGAACGGGUGAGUAAUGCAUCGGAACGUGCCCAGUCGUGGGGGAUAACUACUCGAAAGAGUAGCUAAUACCGCAUACGAUCUAUGGAUGAAAGCGGGGGACCGUAAGGCCUCGCGCGAUUGGAGCGGCCGAUGUCAGAUUAGGUAGUUGGUGGGGUAAAGGCUCACCAAGCCAACGAUCUGUAGCUGGUCUGAGAGGACGACCAGCCACACUGGGACUGAGACACGGCCCAGACUCCUACGGGAGGCAGCAGUGGGGAAUUUUGGACAAAGGGCGCAAGCCUGAUCCAGCAAUGCCGCGUGCAGGAAGAAGGCCUUCGGGUUGUAGACUGCUUUUGUACGGAACGAAACGGCUCUGGUUAAUACCCGGGGCUAAUGACGGUACCGUAAGAAUAAGCACCGGCUAACUACGUG